RNAcentral lists this ribosomal RNA (660 nucleotides) under uncultured bacterium. Its description in RNAcentral is "bacterial SSU rRNA". The stretch from base 1 to 537 matches the Rfam family "Bacterial small subunit ribosomal RNA", at positions 338 to 873 of the family's 1533-position model. The record is from RNAcentral.
CCUACGGGAGGCAGCAGUAAGGAAUAUUGGUCAAUGGAGGCAACUCUGAACCAGCCAUGCCGCGUGAAGGAUGAAGGCCCUAUGGGUCGUAAACUUCUUUUGUACGGGAAAAAACCCUUUUACGUGUAAGAGGUUGAUGGUACCGUAAGAAUAAGGAUCGGCUAACUCCGUGCCAGCAGCCGCGGUAAUACGGAGGAUCCAAGCGUUAUCCGGAUUCAUUGGGUUUAAAGGGUGCGUAGGCGGCUUAUUAAGUCAGCGGUGAAAGCCUGGAGCUUAACUCCAGAACUGCCAUUGAUACUGAUGAGCUUGAGUACACUUGAAGUGGGCGGAAUGUGUCGUGUAGCGGUGAAAUGCUUAGAUAUGACACAGAACACCGAUUGCGAAGGCAGCUCACUAAAUUGUAACUGACGCUGAGGCACGAAAGCGUGGGGAUCAAACAGGAUUAGAUACCCUGGUAGUCCACGCCGUAAACGUUGAUAACUCGAUGUGUGCGAUAUACUAGUACGCGUCUAAGACGAAGACGAUUAAGUUAGUACCUACCGUCGGGGUAGGUACGGAGUCGUCGAAGUUAGUUAGUAAACGUUAACUUAAAUAGUUAAGUUAGUUACGGCGUUGAGGACGUUAGCCGACGGACGACCGACCGACGGGGAGGUUAGGGAG